RNAcentral lists this long non-coding RNA (400 nucleotides) under Gossypium raimondii (Peruvian cotton). Its description in RNAcentral is "long non-coding RNA (GRAI_LNC009237)". Lineage: Eukaryota; Viridiplantae; Streptophyta; Magnoliopsida; Malvales; Malvaceae. The record is from RNAcentral.
GGGAGAGGGUUUGGGGUAGAUGAGAGGUGGGAUGGGAAGGGAAUAAAAGUUUUAGGGGAAAAGUGGGAGGGAGUAAAUAUUUUGGGGGAAAAUAAAAGGUUUUGAGGGGUUUUGGGAGUAAAAUUUUGAGAAAAAGUAAAUGGGAGAGUAAAAUUUUGGUGGGAAAUGAAUUUUGGGUAAAUUGGGGGGUUGGGAGGGGAGGGGAGUAAAAGUUUUGGGGGGAAAGUGGAAAGGAAUAAAAGUUUUUGAGGGAAAAGUAAAAAGGUUUGAGAGUUUGGGGUAAAAAAUGUAAAAUAUUAUAGUUUGAUAUUCGAAUUAUUCGAGUUAUUCGUAUUUGAAAACUCAACUCGAUUCGAACUUGAAAUUUGAAAAAAAAAUUCGAGUUGAUUCGAAUAACUCG